CGCAGCGAAUUGCGAUAAGUAAUGUGAAUUGCAGAAGUGAAUCAUCGAAUCUUUGAACGCACCUUGCGCUCCCUGCAGAUCUAAUCUGGGGAGCAUGCCUGUUUGAGGGCCGCGAAUUGUUUCGAACGGCAGCUUUCUUCCUUUUUUUUGCGAGAGAGUUGGCGGAUCGGUAGUGAGGGGUUGCCAGUUACCAUGGCUCCCUCGAAAUGCAUUAGCGCAUCCAUUUGAGAGGCAAGGACGGGCGAAAGCUCGCUUUUUCGCCCUCCUCUUCCUCCUGCCGGGUUUUGAUAAUAUCAGGACUUCGGAGGGGAGAAGAGGGUCUGGGUUAAGAGCUGGACGCACCGUGUUUUGCUGGUUGGAGUGCUUCUGAACCCCGCCCAUGCCCGCACACGUCGGGAAGGGAACGAUGUAGUAUAUUCUACAACAUCAAUUCCAUCGGCCUCAGAUUGGUAGGACUACCCGCUGAACUUAAGCAUAUCAAU
Molecule: ribosomal RNA, 482 nt
Filed under: uncultured Pseudozyma
Lineage: Eukaryota; Fungi; Basidiomycota; Ustilaginomycetes; Ustilaginales; Ustilaginaceae
Description: eukaryotic LSU rRNA
Rfam family: 5.8S ribosomal RNA (bases 1-112)
Source: RNAcentral